GCAAGGAAUUUUGCGCAAUGGGCGAAAGCCUGACGCAGCAACGCCGCGUGGGUGAAGAAGGCCUUCGGGUCGUAAAGCCCUUUUGUCAGGGAAGAAGUUCUGACGGUACCUGGCGAAUAAGCCUCGGCUAACUACGUGCCAGCAGCCGCGGUAAUACGUAGGAGGCGAGCGUUAUCCGGAUUUAUUGGGCGUAAAGAGCGCGUAGGCGGCCUAUUAAGUCGGUUGUGAAAUCUCCUGGCUCAACUGGGAGGGGUCAGCCGAAACUAGUAGGCUUGAGGGCAGCAGAGGGAGGUGGAAUUCCCGGUGUAGUGGUGAAAUGCGUAGAUAUCGGGAGGAACACCAGUGGCGAAGGCGACCUCCUGGGCUGUUCCUGACGCUGAGGCGCGAAAGCGUGGGGAGCAAACAGGAUUAGAAACCCCUGUAGUCC
This 427-nucleotide ribosomal RNA is filed under the name uncultured bacterium. Its description in RNAcentral is "bacterial SSU rRNA". It matches the Rfam family "Bacterial small subunit ribosomal RNA", at positions 354 to 796 of the family's 1533-position model. The record is from RNAcentral.